Long non-coding RNA from Phlebotomus argentipes, 513 nucleotides. RefSeq lists it as uncharacterized. The transcript has 3 exons. The record is from RefSeq and is a predicted model, not a curated record. Lineage: Eukaryota; Metazoa; Arthropoda; Insecta; Diptera; Psychodidae.
CUCUUGCGAACUCUUCUUUUCUUUUUAUCCCGCCAUCAAUUGGCCGGGAGAAAGAGUGUGUUUUCUGUGCUGUUGAGACCAAAAUUAAAUGGUGUAGAGGCGAUUUUUUUGCGAAUAGACAGUGAGAACGUGACGAAAAGUGUGGGAAUGGCGAAAAAAUCUGCCAAUUUGCUGUUCCCGGAACUCCCCGAAGUGGACGGAAGGCCCAAUUUACUUCUGUGAUCAAUAACCGCACGUUGAGUGACCAUUUCAAUUUGCUGAACUCGAUCGCCAGAUGAUUAUUCCAUGUAGCAGAAUAGUGGUUAAAACUGUGGACUGAGUGAGACGUGCAUGUGGAUGGCGAGGCGCUCUCUGGGGCCACAGGAGCUCCCCAACCGCCCCACUCAGUGAUAGUGCAGCGAGUCGAAUGGGCCGCAAAUUGACAUUGUAGCCGACACCAACGUAUGAACAUGUCCGCCACAAAGAGGAUGCCCCAGGGCCAUAAAGUGACGUCCAGUGGACAGGGAUUGCACA